Long non-coding RNA from Vigna unguiculata (cowpea), 1223 nucleotides. RefSeq lists it as uncharacterized. The record is from RefSeq and is a predicted model, not a curated record. Lineage: Eukaryota; Viridiplantae; Streptophyta; Magnoliopsida; Fabales; Fabaceae.
UAAUUAUACUAAUUCUCACUUCAUCUCAAUUGUGACCAACAUCAAUAUCAAUUCAAGAAACUUGUACUUUUAUUUAUAUGGAUGAUCAACAAGAACAAGAACAAUUUGAAGAACCAAAUGUGGGCGAAUCAAAUCUAAAUGAGCAAAAUGAUAUUCCUAUUAAUUCAACUCCAAGGGAAACAAAAAGCUCAACUCCAACUGUGAAUUCAAGAAAGUUAAUAUUAGAUGUUUGGAAUCAUUUUAAGAGACAAAAAAUAGAUGGAAAUUGGAAAGUUGUGUGCAACUAUUGUAAGAAAAAGCUUUUGGGUGAUGGAAGGCAAGGUACAUCACAUUUGCGAAAUCAUUUCAAGACUUGUAAGCUUCGAACAACACGAGACAUCAAACAAGAAUUUUUAAAAACUAGGAAAGUAGAGAAUGAAACUGUGAUUAUUGGGAAUUAUGUGUUUAAUCAACAAACAACUAGGCAUGCACUCCGAAAGAUGAUAAUCCUACAUGAGUAUCUAAUGUCAAUGGUUGAUAACAUUGGUUUUAAAGAGUUUUGUUGUGCUCUACAACCUUUAUUCAAGGUGCUUUCUCGGAACUCUAUAAAAAAUGAUAUUAUGAAGGAGUAUAAUGAAGAAAAAGAGAAAAUAAAGUUACUACUGUCAAGGAUUCAAAGUCAAGUUGUAAUUACAACUGACAUGUGGACUGCUAGUAAUCAAAAUAAAGGAUACAUGACUAUAACAACUCACUUUAUUGAUGAUUUAUGGAGGCUACAAAGUUGACUUGUGAGGUAUUUGGGUGUAGCAAUUUUGGAGCUUGGACAUUAAUAUUCAGUUGAAGAGAGUUGCCACAUCAUUUCCACAUCAUUUCCACGUCAUUUCCAUGUCAUUUAAGUGAAUGGGCCAAAUUUGAGGCCCAGUAGAGCAUUUUUGUAAUUCUGAGUGGUAGAGUGACAUUUUUGUAAAUACUAGUGGCAAGGUUGAUUUGACCACGCGAAUGGGAGGUCUCUUAGCUCAUGCAGCCGCACCAUCAUCUUAUCCACUCUCCAUUUUAGGUUUUUCAAGCUUUGGAAGGUGACCAUGGAGGCACAAGCUGAUUUUUCACAUUUUCCACUCGUUUUUGACAUUUUAUGAGUCAUUAAAGCUUGUAUUGCUUAAUUGCAUGUUGAAUUCGUGGUUCACCUCUCAUUAGUUGUUUAACACCGAGUUCAUGAGUUAAUAACGAAAACAAUUCAUUUUCAA